Molecule: unclassified non-coding RNA, 240 nt
Filed under: soil metagenome
Description: partial contains 5.8S ribosomal RNA, internal transcribed spacer 2, and large subunit ribosomal RNA
Source: RNAcentral
AACGCACGAGACCUGCGGACCUGCGGAAGGAUCAUUACCGAGUUUACAACUCCCAAACCCCCUGUGAACUUAUACCAUUACUGUUGCUUCGGCGGGUUAUUGCCCCGGGGAAGGACAGGCUGCCGCAAGGUGCCCUGCCGCCCCCCCGGAAACAGGCGCCCGCCGGGGGACUUAAACUCUAUAUUUUUUUCUUGUUUUAGUGUAUACUGUCUGAGUAAAAAAACAUAAUGAAUCAAAACU